RNAcentral lists this transfer RNA (68 nucleotides) under marine eukaryotic metagenome. It matches the Rfam family "tRNA". Rfam says of the family: Transfer RNA (tRNA) molecules are approximately 80 nucleotides in length. The record is from RNAcentral.
GUCUAUAGCUCAGGGGUAGAGCGCACGCCUGAUAAGCGUGAGGUCGGUGGUUCAAUUCCACCUAGGCC